CCAAAAUCCCCAAAUCGGCAGCCCUAAGUCCCGUCUCUCUCUCGUAUCUCUGCCUCUCGAUCUCCUCUCGACGUCGACGAACAGCAGGCGAUAGGCGACGAUGGACGGGCUUCAGCACCGGAUGAGCGACGGCGACGAAGCCCCGGCGAGGCGGCCCAGCGGUGGCAGCAGCUCCAUCUCUCUCUCGCUUCCGGUCGCGGCGGUGGUUCUGGUCGGCGAAGCAACAGUGGAGCGGUGGUGGCUCGAAAUUGAUUAGGCAGAAAAUAAGGGAUUAAGGCUUCUAAUGAAGGUUCCCCGUUGAAUUGAAGUGGCUAGUCUGAGAGUUGAGUUUUAGAGUGGAUGCUUGCUUUUGGAGCUUAGCUUUGAGGACUUGAUAGAAGUGACCCGUUCUAAGAGUGCGGUGUAGAGCUAGUUUCCCUUGGAGUUGUAGCUUGGUUUAAAUGGUUUAGUUUAGAAUUCAAAAUGUUGUAUUAUAGUUGAUUUGUAAUUCGAUUAGUGAAUUGUUGUAAUAUGGAUUGCAGUUAGAAAGCUUUGUAGCCUGUGCGUUUGGGCUUAGUGGUGGUCCAAGCGUGGCAUAACACCCCAUUGGUUUAGAGUUUGAAUUCGCUUCCGCAUUUGUUUUCAGAAUGGUUAGUAAGAAAGAUUGUUUAUUUAUGAUUAAUCAUGUAUUAGAAAUUGGGGGUGUUACGCGCGCGCGCACACACACAUAUAUAUUUCUGAAUUCAUUGAUUUAUUAUUUAUUAGAGCAAAUUGCCAUUUUGGUCCA
Molecule: long non-coding RNA, 766 nt
Organism: Ipomoea triloba (trilobed morning glory)
Lineage: Eukaryota; Viridiplantae; Streptophyta; Magnoliopsida; Solanales; Convolvulaceae
Exons: 3
Source: RefSeq, a predicted model, not a curated record